This is a transfer RNA of Paracoccidioides sp., 84 nucleotides long. It matches the Rfam family "tRNA". From Rfam's summary of the family: Transfer RNA (tRNA) molecules are approximately 80 nucleotides in length. NCBI's taxonomy places the organism in Eukaryota, Fungi, Ascomycota, Eurotiomycetes, Onygenales, Ajellomycetaceae. The record is from Rfam.
UCCUCGAUGGUCUAGUGGUCAUGAUUUCCGCUUGUCAUUAAAGUUCAAGCGCGGGAGACCAGGGUUCGAUUCCCUGUCGGGGAG